RNAcentral lists this long non-coding RNA (911 nucleotides) under Mytilus galloprovincialis (Mediterranean mussel). Lineage: Eukaryota; Metazoa; Mollusca; Bivalvia; Mytilida; Mytilidae. The record is from RNAcentral.
GAAUGAUCUAAUUUAUUAAUUACCAGAUACAGAUUCCUCAUGUCAAAAAGGAUCUUCACAGUUUGUCAUGAUCUAUGUAUUUGUGUGUUCAUGUGGAACGCUUCUAUUUGGUUCAGCAGCAUGCCUUAUUCCCAAAUGCAAGAGAGGUAUUGUACAAUUAUAAUUUAAAUGAACUUAAAUUACAAUAACAUUUUAUUUACAAAAUAUGGUUUGCAUACCUCUUUAAAAUGUAUGAUACAUGAUACUUGACCUUCAUUUCCGUCCCCCUGAUAAGGCCUUUAUUUAAAUUUAACACUUUCAAAUAUUCAACUCUGUACUGCAUCGUUAAAUGGCAUAUUUUUGUAUUGGCAAACUGCAAUAAUGAUUUUAUGUAUCAUAUAUUUCCGCAUUAUAAAACACCGUCGUGAUGUCGAAAUAAAGGUAAAGGCUAAAAGAGAGGCGAAAUAUUCCAAAGAGAUAAUCAAAUUCAUAAGAAAAAGACAUACCUACAACGCAAUAAAAAAGAAAAUCCCGAAAACCAAGAAAUUCAAUCAGAAAUAGAUUAGUAUUUUCAGCCAAUUAUUAUAAUGAACGUAAAUUAGCAAUCAAAAAUUCAAGUAACAUUAAAGAUGAUUUUCUUCAAAUCUACAAAUAACUUUAAAUUUUUGUUUGUUUCAGUAAAGAAAUGGUGUACCCUAUCCGAUGAAAAGCCAACGGUUUUAGAGGGGCAAACAUUGAGUACACAGUAAAACGCGGAAAGGAUAGGUUUUGUCAUGAUGUGUCAGCUAUUCUGUUGAAUCCAAAAGCGUUGACAUUAAUAUUUGACAAAGUAAACAAAAUUUAGCCUACCGUGAUCACUGUUACUCUGUUUCUUGGAAAAUUUUAAGUGAACCGAAACCGAAAGUAGUUAUUUCCUCCCUUAUUUUAUUGGC